GUCAGUAAGGUGGAAGGCUGGUUAAACCGUUUGGUUUACGACCACUACGACCCGGGUUCGAUCCCCGCAUUGGACA
This is a non-coding RNA of Cordylochernes scorpioides, 76 nucleotides long. Lineage: Eukaryota; Metazoa; Arthropoda; Arachnida; Pseudoscorpiones; Chernetidae. The record is from the annotation of a GenBank genome assembly.